AAUACGAAGUCGGACCUGCCCAGUGAAGUUUAAACGGCCGCGGUACUCUGACCGUGCAAAGGUAGCAUAAUCAUUUGCCUUAUAAUUGAAGGCUGGAAUGAAUGGUUUGACAAGAAUACACCUGUCUCUUUUAGAUUAUUUAGAAUUUUAUCUUUGGGUGAAAAAGCCCAGAUCUUAUUAAAAGACAAGAAGACCCUAUCGAGCUUCAGAAAAAUUAAUAGAGAUUAUAUUUAAUAUUAAUUAAAAGAAAAGCUAUUGAAUACUUUGGUUGGGGCAACCGAGGAGUAAAUAAAGCCUCCUUUAAAUAAGAAGUCUUACUUGUGAAGAUCCAAGAAUUUUGAUCAAAGAAAUUAGUUACCGUAGGGAUAACAGCAUUAUCUUUUUUGAGAGCCCAUAUCGAAAAAAAGGUUUGUGACCUCGAUGUUGGACCAGAAUAUCCUAAAGAUGCAGAAGUCUUUGAGGGUUGGUCUGUUCGACCAUUAAAAUUC
RNAcentral lists this ribosomal RNA (488 nucleotides) under Conus judaeus. Its description in RNAcentral is "partial 16S ribosomal RNA". It matches the Rfam family "Bacterial large subunit ribosomal RNA", at positions 1844 to 2596 of the family's 2925-position model. The record is from RNAcentral. Lineage: Eukaryota; Metazoa; Mollusca; Gastropoda; Neogastropoda; Conidae.